Molecule: ribosomal RNA, 490 nt
Filed under: uncultured bacterium
Lineage: Bacteria
Description: partial 16S ribosomal RNA
Rfam family: Bacterial small subunit ribosomal RNA
Source: RNAcentral
AUUGAACGCUGGCGGCAGGCCUAACACAUGCAAGUCGAACGGUAACAGGAAGAAGCUUGCUUCUUUGCUGACGAGUGGCGGACGGGUGAGUAAUGUCUGGGAAACUGCCUGAUGGAGGGGGAUAACUACUGGAAACGGUAGCUAAUACCGCAUAACGUCGCAAGACCAAAGAGGGGGACCUUCGGGCCUCUUGCCAUCGGAUGUGCCCAGAAGGGAUUAGCUAGUAGGUGGGGUAACGGCUCACCUAGGCGACGAUCCCUAGCUGGUCUGAGAGGAUGACCAGCCACACUGGAACUGAGACACGGUCCAGACUCCUACGGGAGGCAGCAGUGGGGAAUAUUGCACAAUGGGCGCAAGCCUGAUGCAGCCAUGCCGCGUGUAUGAAGAAGGCCUUCGGGUUGUAAAGUACUUUCAGCGGGGAGGAAGGGAGUAAAGUUAAUACCUUUGCUCAUUGACGUUACCCGCAGAAGAAGCACCGGCUAACUCCGUG